RNAcentral lists this ribosomal RNA (583 nucleotides) under uncultured marine eukaryote. RNAcentral's name for it is "SSU rRNA". It matches the Rfam family "Eukaryotic small subunit ribosomal RNA", at positions 618 to 1212 of the family's 1831-position model. The record is from RNAcentral.
GUUAAAAAGCUCGUAGUUGGAUUUCUGCAGGAGUGCCUGUUGUCCGCCCACGUUGCGUGUGCAGCGGCGCCCCUGCAUCCUUCGGUUACCUCCGCUCGGCAUUCACUUGCCGGCGGUUGGCUCCGAAUAUUUACCUUGAGAAAAUUAGAGUGUUUCAGGCAGGCUUAGCCGGAAUACAUUAGCAUGGAAUAAUAGAAUAGGACUACGGUCUCGUUGUUGGUUUGAGGGACUGGAGUAAUGAUUAAUAGGGAUAGUUGGGGGCAUUAGUAUUUAAUUGUCAGAGGUGAAAUUCUCAGAUUAACUAAAGACUAACUUAUGCGAAAGCAUUUGCCUAGGAUGUUUUCAUUAAUCAAGAACGAAAGUUAGGGGAUCAAAGACGAUCAGAUACCGUCCUAGUCUUAACCAUAAACUAUGCCAACUCGGGAUCGGGGGCGUGUAAUUAUCCGCCUUCGGCACCGUAUGAGAAAUCAAAGUCUUUGGGUUCUGGGGGGAGAUAUGGUCGCAAGGUUGAAACUUAAAGGAAUUGACGGAAGGGCACCACCAGGCGUGGAGCUUGCGGCUCAAUUUGACUCAACACGGGAAA